This 1256-nucleotide long non-coding RNA is filed under the name Lupinus angustifolius (narrow-leaved blue lupine). Its description in RNAcentral is "long non-coding RNA (LANG_LNC001985)". The record is from RNAcentral. Lineage: Eukaryota; Viridiplantae; Streptophyta; Magnoliopsida; Fabales; Fabaceae.
CCAACACAAAAUGUAAGAAAGAGAAACACCAAGGACUGAACCUUAAUCUUCCUUCCAUAUCAAUUCCAUACCUAAAAAAGGGUGCAAAAGUAAUGAGAACCGUGACAAAUGUUGGAAACAUAACUUCUGUCUACAAAGCUCAAGUGAAGGCUCCAGAUGGCAUAAAAGUGAGAGUUGAACCUCAAAUUUUGAGUUUCAAUUCUUCCUCGACAGUCCUUUCCUUCAAUGUCAGUUUCUUGUCAACUCUAAAGCUUCAUGGAGGUUACAGAUUUGGUAGCCUAACUUGGACCAAUGGCAAGCAUUUUGUGAGGGUCCCAAUAGCUGUGAGGACCAUACAAUUUGAAUCUUAAGGAUUCAUAAGAGUUUAUGGAAAAUGAGUUUUAUCAACUAACACGGCAUUAAAUUCUAUGACGAAAGAUUACCAGUUUAUGCAUGGAAUAUACUACAGAUUGUAAGUUUAAAACGGAUCCUGAGUUUGCAACUGACAAAUUAUUUGAAUUAAAUAAAAUGAUUGGUUGACACUGAUGAACAGAAUACUGUGAUGAGCAAAUGUCAGUAUUAGAAACAAAAAACACUGCUAAUCUAAUGGUGAAUUUUAAGUUACUGUUGUUAAGGAAGAUGGUAUUUGUAUGAUUUGUAUUUUAUCUAAAACAACACAAAAUAUCAAACUUGAGUCUUUAUUGAAGCAGUCUUUAUUGGAAUUAAUUUUUAUUGAAAUAAACAGACUAUAAAAUUCUCCCACCUAUCUCAACACCUUCAAUGUUCAAACACAACAAUAUAAAACUAAUAACUCAAAAGUAAAAAUUGUAAUAUACAUAUUGUUGUAAAAGCACUUAAUUAGAUUGGUGGAAGGAGCACCUGUGGAGAUCGUUAAUGGCACUAAUUUGGGAAAACCUAAGGUUGUUGGGGGUGAUGACUCAAUGUCUUUCCAAUCAGAAGAUGGUGACUGGUGGCUGGACGGCGUCUCUGGUAGAGGAGAAGAGUCCUUCUCGGUUGAUGAGGGUGAGGACGUGGCAAGGUCUCAGGCGCCUCUGAACUUUGCUCAGUCUUGAGGGCAUUGGGGUUCGGGAAAAGGUGACGAGGGGAGCAGGUGGAAUAGGCCAAAACAACUCUUCUGCAAAAGGGGUUUUGGCCGAUUCAGAGAAAUUUGGCAAGAUUGACAAAAAAUGGCAUCCUUUUCCUCUGGGAAUGGGAAAGGUAAGAGCAGACCAAGUUUGAAAGGGGAGGAAGGUGUGAGUACAAGGGUUAAUAUCUGA